AACCUCCGCAAUGUGAGAAAUCGCGACGGGGGGAUCCCAAGUGCCAUUCUUAACGGGAUGGCUUUUCAUUAGUGUAAAGAGCUUUUGGAAUAAGAGCUGGGCAAGACCGGUGCCAGCCGCCGCGGUAACACCGGCAGCUCUAGUGGUAGCAAUUUUUAUUGGGCCUAAAGCGUCCGUAGCCGGUUUAAUAAGUCUCUGGUGAAAUCCUGUAGCUUAACUGUGGGAAUUGCUGGAGAUACUAUUAGACUUGAGACCGGGAGAGGUUAGAGGUACUCCCAGGGUAGAGGUGAAAUUCUGUAAUCCUGGGAGGACCGCCUGUUGCGAAGGCGUCUAACUGGAACGGUUCUGACGGUGAGGGACGAAAGUUAGGGGCGCGAACCGGAUUAGAUACCCGGGUAGUCCUAACUGUAAACGAUGCGGACUUGGUGUUGGGGUGGCUUUGAGCUGCUCCAGUGCCGAAGGGAAGCUGUUAAGUCCGCCGCCUGGGAAGUACGGUCGCAAGACUGAAACUUAAAGGAAGU
This 521-nucleotide ribosomal RNA is filed under the name uncultured bacterium. Its description in RNAcentral is "bacterial SSU rRNA". It matches the Rfam family "Archaeal small subunit ribosomal RNA", at positions 345 to 866 of the family's 1478-position model. The record is from RNAcentral.